Xylariaceae sp. AK1471 is the source of this 83-nucleotide non-coding RNA. NCBI's taxonomy places the organism in Eukaryota, Fungi, Ascomycota, Sordariomycetes, Xylariales, Xylariaceae. The record is from the annotation of a GenBank genome assembly.
UCCGAAUUGGUGUAGUGGCCAACAUUUGACGCUCUCAUAAUAGAAGUACCGUCAAGCCCGGGGUUCGAUUCCCCGAUUCGGAG